GACGAACGCUGGCGGCGUGCUUAACACAUGCAAGUCGAAUGGAAAGGCCCUGCUUUUGUGUGGUGCUCGAGUGGCGAACGGGUGAGUAACACGUGAGUAACCUGCCCUUGACUUUGGGAUAACUACAGGAAACUGGGGCUAAUACCGGAGAGGAGCUCCUGCUGCAUGGUGGGGGUUGGAAAGGUUCGGCGGUUGGGGAUGGACUCGCGGCUUAUCAGCUUGUUGGUGGGGUAGUGGCUUACCAAGGCUUUGACGGGCAGCCGGCCUGAGAGGGUGACCGGCCACAUUGGGACUGAGAUACGGACCAGUCUCCUACGGGAGGCAGCAGUGGGGAAUAUGGCACAAUGGGGGGAAGCCUGAGGAAGCAACGCCGCGUGCGGGAUGAAGGCCUUGGGGUGGUAAACCGAUUUCGCCUGUGACGAAGCGUGAGUGACGGUAAUGGGUAAAGAAGCACCGGCUAACUACGUG
This 468-nucleotide ribosomal RNA is filed under the name uncultured bacterium. RNAcentral's name for it is "partial 16S ribosomal RNA". It matches the Rfam family "Bacterial small subunit ribosomal RNA", at positions 28 to 507 of the family's 1533-position model. The record is from RNAcentral.